RNAcentral lists this ribosomal RNA (431 nucleotides) under uncultured bacterium. RNAcentral's name for it is "partial 16S ribosomal RNA". It matches the Rfam family "Bacterial small subunit ribosomal RNA", at positions 29 to 507 of the family's 1533-position model. The record is from RNAcentral.
AGCGAACGCUGGCGGCAGGCCUAACACAUGCAAGUCGAACGCCCCUUCGGGGGAGUGGCGGACGGGUGAGUAACGCGUGGGAAUGUGCCCUUUGGUACGGAACAACUGAGGGAAACUUCAGCUAAUACCGUAUGUGCCCUACGGGGGAAAGAUUUAUCGCCAUUGGAGCAGCCCGCGUUGGAUUAGGUAGUUGGUGGGGUAAUGGCCCACCAAGCCGACGAUCCAUAGCUGGUCUGAGAGGAUGAUCAGCCACACUGGGACUGAGACACGGCCCAGACUCCUACGGGAGGCAGCAGUGGGGAAUCUUGCGCAAUGGGCGAAAGCCUGACGCAGCCAUGCCGCGUGAAUGAUGAAGGUCUUAGGAUUGUAAAAUUCUUUCACCGGGGAAGAUAAUGACGGUACCCGGAGAAGAAGCCCCGGCUAACUUCGUA